CAACGUUAAUCGGGGCAGGGUGAGUCGACCCCUAAGGCGAGGCCGAAAGGCGUAGUCGAUGGGAAACGGGUUAAUAUUCCCGUACUUGGUGUUACUGCGAAGGGGGGACGGAGAAGGCUAUGUUGGCCGGGCGACGGUUGUCCCGGUUUAAGCGUGUAGGUGUGUGUUCCAGGUAAAUCCGGUUCACUUUAACACUGAGGCGUGACGACGAGGCACUACGGUGCUGAAGCAACAAAUGCCCUGCUUCCAGGAAAAGCCUCUAAGCAUCAGGUAACAUCAAAUCGUACCCCAAACCGACACAGGUGGUCAGGUAGAGAAUACCAAGGCGCUUGAGAGAACUCGGGUGAAGGAACUAGGCAAAAUGGUGCCGUAACUUCGGGAGAAGGCACGCUGACACGUAGGUGAAGUGAUUUACUCAUGGAGCUGAAGUCAGUCGAAGAUACCAGCUGGCUGCAACUGUUUAUUAAAAACACAGCACUGUGCAAACACGAAAGUGGACGUAUACGGUGUGACGCCUGCCCGGUGCCGGAAGGUUAAUUGAUGGGGUCAGCGCAAGCGAAGCUCCUGAUCGAAGCCCCGGUAAACGGCGGCCGUAACUAUAACGGUCCUAAGGUAGCGAAAUUCCUUGUCGGGUAAGUUCCGACCUGCACGAAUGGCGUAAUGAUGGCCAGGCUGUCUCCACCCGAGACUCAGUGAAAUUGAACUCGCUGUGAAGAUGCAGUGUACCCGCGGCAAGACGGAAAGACCCCGUGAACCUUUACUAUAGCUUGACACUGAACAUUGAGCCUUGAUGUGUAGGAUAGGUGGGAGGCUUUGAAGUGUGGACGCCAGUCUGCAUGGAGCCGACCUUGAAAUACCACCCUUUAAUGUUUGAUGUUCUAACGUGGACCCGUGAUCCGGGUUGCGGACAGUGUCUGGUGGGUAGUUUGACUGGGGCGGUCUCCUCCUAAAGAGUAACGGAGGAGCACGAAGGUUGGCUAAUCCUGGUCGGACAUCAGGAGGUUAGUGCAAUGGCAUAAGCCAGCUUGACUGCGAGCGUGACGGCGCGAGCAGGUGCGAAAGCAGGUCAUAGUGAUCCGGUGGUUCUGAAUGGAAGGGCCAUCGCUCAACGGAUAAAAGGUACUCCGGGGAUAACAGGCUGAUACCGCCCAAGAGUUCAUAUCGACGGCGGUGUUUGGCACCUCGAUGUCGGCUCAUCACAUCCUGGGGCUGAAGUAGGUCCCAAGGGUAUGGCUGUUCGCCAUUUAAAGUGGUACGCGAGCUGGGUUUAGAACGUCGUGAGACAGUUCGGUCCCUAUCUGCCGUGGGCGCUGGAGAACUGAGGGGGGCUGCUCCUAGUACGAGAGGACCGGAGUGGACGCAUCACUGGUGUUCGGGUUGUCAUGCCAAUGGCACUGCCCGGUAGCUAAAUGCGGAAGAGAUAAGUGCUGAAAGCAUCUAAGCACGAAACUUGCCCCGAG
This 1460-nucleotide ribosomal RNA is filed under the name Salmonella enterica. RNAcentral describes it as "partial 23S ribosomal RNA". It matches the Rfam family "Bacterial large subunit ribosomal RNA", at positions 1360 to 2803 of the family's 2925-position model. The record is from RNAcentral. Lineage: Bacteria; Pseudomonadati; Pseudomonadota; Gammaproteobacteria; Enterobacterales; Enterobacteriaceae.